RNAcentral lists this ribosomal RNA (468 nucleotides) under uncultured bacterium. Its description in RNAcentral is "partial 16S ribosomal RNA". It matches the Rfam family "Bacterial small subunit ribosomal RNA", at positions 28 to 507 of the family's 1533-position model. The record is from RNAcentral.
GACGAACGCUGGCGGCGUGCUUAACACAUGCAAGUCGAACGGAAAGGCCCUGCUUUUGUGGGGUGCUCGAGUGGCGAACGGGUGAGUAACACGUGAGUAACCUGCCCUUGACUUUGGGAUAACUUCAGGAAACUGGGGCUAAUACCGGAUAGGAGCUCCUGCUGCAUGGUGGGGGUUGGAAAGUUUCGGCGGUUGGGGAUGGACUCGCGGCUUAUCAGCUUGUUGGUGGGGUAGUGGCUUACCAAGGCUUUGACGGGUGGCCGGCCUGAGAGGGUGACCGGCCACAUUGGGACUGAGAUACGGCCCAGACUCCUACGGGAGGCAGCAGUGGGGAAUAUUGCACAAUGGGCGGAAACCUGAUGCAGCAACGCCGCGUGCGGGAUGACGGCCUUCGGGUUGUAAACCGCUUUCGCCUGUGACGAAGCGUGAGUGACGGUAAUGGGUAAAGAAGCACCGGCUAACUACGUG